This 523-nucleotide ribosomal RNA is filed under the name uncultured Acaulospora. RNAcentral describes it as "SSU rRNA". It matches the Rfam family "Eukaryotic small subunit ribosomal RNA", at positions 591 to 1113 of the family's 1831-position model. The record is from RNAcentral. Lineage: Eukaryota; Fungi; Glomeromycota; Glomeromycetes; Diversisporales; Acaulosporaceae.
CCAAUAGCGUAUAUUAAAGUUGUUGCAGUUAAAAAGCUCGUAGUUGAAUUUCGGGGUCUGUCCGUCGGUCGGGCUUUACGGUCCGUACUGGUGUGAUGGGUUCCUACCUUCUGAAUAACCGGCAUGCCAUUCAUUUGGUGCGCCGGGGAAGCAGAGCUAUUACCUUGAAAAAAUUAGAGUGCUUAAAGCAGGCUAGUGCUUGAAUAGAUUAGCAUGGAAUAAUAAAAUAGGACGGCAUGGUUCUAUUUUGUUGGUUUCUAGGAUCACCGUAAUGAUUAAUAGGGAUAGUUGGGGGCAGUAGUAUUCAAUUGUCAGAGGUGAAAUUCUUGGAGUUAUUGAAGACUAACUUCUGCGAAAGCAUUUGCCAAGGAUGUUUUCAUUAAUCAAGAACGAAAGUUAGGGGAUCGAAGACGAUCAGAUACCGUCGUAGUCUUAACCAUAAACUAUGCCGACUAGGGAUCGGACGAUGUUAAUUUUUUAAUGACUCGUUCGGCGCCUUACGGGAAACCAAAGUGUUUGGGUC